This 83-nucleotide small nucleolar RNA is filed under the name Chrysolophus pictus (golden pheasant). RNAcentral describes it as "Small nucleolar RNA U2-19 (ENSCPIG00010002805.1)". It matches the Rfam family "Small nucleolar RNA U2-19". Rfam says of the family: U2-19 is a member of the C/D class of snoRNA which contain the C (UGAUGA) and D (CUGA) box motifs. The record is from Rfam by way of RNAcentral. Lineage: Eukaryota; Metazoa; Chordata; Aves; Galliformes; Phasianidae.
GGUCUGUGAUGAGAAAUAGCCAAAUCUGAGCACCAGAAGAUAAAUAAUCUUCUGGGUGUCGUGAUUUGUAGGUAGUUCUGAGA